This 73-nucleotide transfer RNA is filed under the name Dallia pectoralis (Alaska blackfish). Its description in RNAcentral is "tRNA-Thr". It matches the Rfam family "tRNA". From Rfam's summary of the family: Transfer RNA (tRNA) molecules are approximately 80 nucleotides in length. Lineage: Eukaryota; Metazoa; Chordata; Actinopteri; Esociformes; Umbridae. The record is from RNAcentral.
GGAGUUGGUAGCUCAGUGAUAGAGUGCAUGCUUUGUAUGUAUGAUUUCCUGGGUUCAAUCCCCAGCUUCUCCU